UACGAAGGGUGCUAGCGUUGCUCGGAAUCACUGGGCGUAAAGGGUGCGUAGGCGGCUUUUUAAGUCAGGGGUGAAAUCCUGGAGCUCAACUCCAGAACUGCCUUUGAUACUGAAGAUCUUGAGUUCGGGAGAGGUGAGUGGAACUGCGAGUGUAGAGGUGAAAUUCGUAGAUAUUCGCAAGAACACCAGUGGCGAAGGCGGCUCACUGGCCCGAUACUGACGCUGAGGCACGAAAGCGUGGGGAGCAAACAGG
RNAcentral lists this ribosomal RNA (253 nucleotides) under uncultured bacterium. RNAcentral describes it as "partial 16S ribosomal RNA". It matches the Rfam family "Bacterial small subunit ribosomal RNA", at positions 524 to 776 of the family's 1533-position model. The record is from RNAcentral.